AGAGUGAACGCUGGCGGCAGGCCUAACACAUGCAAGUCGAACGGCAGCGGGCAGUAGCAAUACUGUGCCGGCGAGUGGCGGACGGGUGAGGAAUACAUCGGAAUCUACCUUGUCGUGGGGGAUAACGUAGGGAAACUUACGCUAAUACCGCAUACGAACCAUGGUUGAAAGCGGCGGACCGCAAGGCGUCGCGCGAUUGGAUGAGCCGAUGUCCGAUUAGCUAGUUGGCGGGUAAAGGCCCACCAAGGCGACGAUCGGUAGCUGGUCUGAGAGGAUGAUCAGCCACACUGGAACUGAGACACGGUCCAGACUCCUACGGGAGGCAGCAGUGGGAAUAUUGGACAAUGGGGGCAACCUGAUCCAGCCAUGCCGCGUGUGUGAAGAAGGCCUUGGGUUCGUAAAGGCUACGUUUUGGUUGGGAAGAAAAGCGAACUGGGUUAAUACCUUGGUGUCAUGACGGUACCCAAAGAAUAAGACACCGGCUAACUCGU
RNAcentral lists this ribosomal RNA (491 nucleotides) under uncultured soil bacterium. RNAcentral's name for it is "bacterial SSU rRNA". It matches the Rfam family "Bacterial small subunit ribosomal RNA", at positions 26 to 505 of the family's 1533-position model. The record is from RNAcentral.